CCCGACACGCUGGCGGCUCUGCAGGGAGCGAUGGCUUCUGCACGGUGCCCUCUCUUCUCCACCCGAGGCUCUGGCCUGGCCGGCGGCGCCGAACAGAAUGUCCCCGCGGUCCCUGAAGCUGAACUACAAAAAUCAAGACCAUGACUGGAUAAACUUGUCAAGAAGAGGAAAAAGAAGAAGAAAAGAUGGGUUACCUGUUUCACAUACACUGCUUCAUCUGCUUCUCAAAGCUCUGGUUUAGUGGGUAGCCAUUCCAGCUUUGAUCUGGAAGUUCCAACUCCCAUUGAGGCUUCGGUAACUAUCACGCCUACAAGGUGGGGCCAAGAGAGGGCCCUGAAGACCCGAGAUCCAGAUGCCCCACUCUCUCUGUUCCUGGACCCUGGACGGUGGAGGUUGACGGAGCAGAGUUCUCCAGAGAACACCGCCAGACUGUGACACACCUUCCCCAGACCCUGCGACCUACCUAUCCCUUCAUUUGUAAGUUAUGCCACUAAUAAACCUCCCUUUUAACUA
Peromyscus californicus insignis is the source of this 513-nucleotide long non-coding RNA. RefSeq lists it as uncharacterized. Lineage: Eukaryota; Metazoa; Chordata; Mammalia; Rodentia; Cricetidae. The record is from RefSeq and is a predicted model, not a curated record. The transcript has 3 exons.